Arabidopsis thaliana (thale cress) is the source of this 483-nucleotide long non-coding RNA. RefSeq annotates it as other RNA. The transcript has a single exon. NCBI's taxonomy places the organism in Eukaryota, Viridiplantae, Streptophyta, Magnoliopsida, Brassicales, Brassicaceae. The record is from RefSeq.
GGUUUGCUAAUUCCACUGGGCAUAAAUUUCUCAUACCCUGGCUUCUUGUUUCUAAAAUCCCUAGGUUGCUUGUGAUUUUUUGAAACAAGUAACUAAAAAGUAGUUUCGUUCUCUUGCUCGAAAAAAGAUUAAGCGAUUAGUCUCUCCCCGUAAAUCGAAUCUUGUCGAGUCAUUGUUACCUUUCUACCUCCUUAGUGGGGCGUUUCUCUUCCCAAUAUUCUCUCCUAUAUAGAGUGGAUUGGAUUUUCAAGGUUUGUCGGCAUUGCAAGGAUAUUCCUCCCGGCCUAUGCUCUUUGCUGCCUUUGUUGUAGUGGUUGUAACCUCUAGAGUUGCUUUGGAUACGAUCUUUCAAGAUUCUUUUGAAAUCGUUGUCUUGCGAUUUCUUAUGAUUUCCCGGUAUGAUUUGUAUUGUUUAUCUAUCUCUCUUUUAACCAUCGUUUGGUGGUCUUUUGGGCAUUGUUGCCAUGCUUUCGUUUAAUUACC